Long non-coding RNA from Salvia miltiorrhiza (redroot sage), 812 nucleotides. RefSeq lists it as uncharacterized. Lineage: Eukaryota; Viridiplantae; Streptophyta; Magnoliopsida; Lamiales; Lamiaceae. The record is from RefSeq and is a predicted model, not a curated record. The transcript is spliced from 4 exons.
CCAGAUGCUAAAACCCUCCACAUAUUCGGCAGUUACUCCAAGCGAUCCCCAUAUCCCUCUCCAAAUACUCCAAACAAAGCUCUAAUUUUUCCUUUCAUGGGUUGUUUAUCGGGAGACGACAGCGCGAGGAGGAUAGGCGAUGAGGUGCCGUUGAAGUUGAGGUUGGAGGAAGUGGAGGGGGGCGGCGACCUGGUGGUGGAUUUCGGCGAUCCAGGGGCAUUGUGGGAGACGGCGUUGCGGCGGAGAGGCUCCUACCCUAGAUCUGGGUCAUUGUAUUUUUUAGUAGUAUUAUUGUUAAUUGUUUGAUCAAUGUUUUCUUGAUUGUGGUAGAUUUGAGUCGUAGAAGGGGAUGAUCUUCUGAGGCUUUUUCUCACCAUGGAUGAAACUAGCCUGCAAUAGCAAUUGGAGCAGCAUUUGGAAACUGUCUCUGAGCUUCAUCCAUUCCGGCUUCUUUGGGGGAAGAAGACAAGGAAAGAAAUUUGGCUUUAAAUGCAUCAUAUUUCCUAAAAGCUGGUGGCCACUUUGUCAUAUCUAUCAAGGAGUAAUUGAAAAAGUUAUCAUGAUGGUUAACCAAUGUUCAACUAUUCUAAUGUACAAUGGAAUUGCUUUUGAUCAAGAGCUCGAAGAAAAAUUAUCAGUCCUAGAUUAAUCGCGAGUUGUAGAUUAAGUGCUUAGUUAUUUAGAUAUUUAUAAUUAUAUGUAGUUAGUCAUUUCGCACAUAUACUUUGAUUUUGUUGAAUAUUUUUUAUGUAAAUGUUUUGUAUGAUAUUCUUGUUAUAUUUAAUGUGUUGAGUAUUAUAUUUAAUUUUUUA